This 433-nucleotide ribosomal RNA is filed under the name uncultured bacterium. RNAcentral describes it as "partial 16S ribosomal RNA". It matches the Rfam family "Bacterial small subunit ribosomal RNA", at positions 29 to 507 of the family's 1533-position model. The record is from RNAcentral.
AACGAACGCUGGCGGCAGGCCUAACACAUGCAAGUCGAGCGCGCCCUUCGGGGUGAGCGGCGGACGGGUGAGUAACGCGUGGGAACGUACCCUUUGCUACGGAAUAGCCUCGGGAAACUGAGAGUAAUACCGUAUACGCCCUUUGGGGGAAAGAUUUAUCGGCAAAGGAUCGGCCCGCGUUGGAUUAGGUAGUUGGUGGGGUAAUGGCCCACCAAGCCGACGAUCCAUAGCUGGUUUGAGAGGAUGAUCAGCCACACUGGGACUGAGACACGGCCCAGACUCCUACGGGAGGCAGCAGUGGGGAAUAUUAGACAAUGGGGGCAACCCUGAUCUAGCCAUGCCGCGUGAGUGAUGAAGGCCUUAGGGUUGUAAAGCUCUUUCAGCUGGGAAGAUAAUGACGGUACCAGCAGAAGAAGCCCCGGCUAACUCCGUG